CAGAAUUCUAGCAGGGCUCUCCUGCUAUUCAGAAAGUUACAACUGUGCCCUCUCCAGCAAAGUCUGGAUCUCAGCCAGCCCUAAGAGUGUGUCUGUGUCUUGGAGGAGCUCUUUUUGAGAUGCUGUAUCUCAGCCCUAGGGUUAGGGGCAAGGCAAGGUCCCUGUUCUUAUGGAGCUAGCACUGAGGUCACCCAGGUGCAAGCCCAGAGGCAGUCUAUACCCCAACUCAACUGGCUGGUCCUCAAUGCUGCCUGCUUCCGUGCCCAACUUAGAACUACACAUCUGCUGCCUCUUGGUAACAUGUCAUUAUAAGGGCUUCUUCAUCAGCCCUAACCCUGCCAACCACUCCUGCCUCACUGAAUGUGCCAACGGAUUGCUCAGCUCCAACCAAGGAAAAGAAGAAGGAAGUUGGAUACUUUAUACCCUCUACAUUGUCCAUUAGCAACACAACCUAGAGCUAGGAUGGAGAAAGAAAAUGCCAAAAUGCUAAUGAAAAAUGUUCAGAUGUAUCACAUAUUAAGCAUACAUGAUCUCAAAUAUUUUGCCUGAUUUAUGCUAUGCAUGCUAUUUUCCAUGUUGUGUAGGCUCUGAUGCUAGUCUACAUUUACAGAAAUCUCCAUCAGCUGUACAAAUGGCAAUUUAAAUACAUUUAACUAUGUGCUAAUAAUCUCAUAAUACAAUUUAUCAUGUAUGAUUGGCAGAAGAAAUUAUUUGGGGCAAAAGCUAUGAUUGUAUUGUUGUAAGUUAUUAUGAAUGCUGGGCAGUGUAGGGCAUGGCACUUGCUACCACCUCCCAGAAAUGUGUAAGGGCUGUUGAAGGUGCCUUGUUCUUCUUUCUUCUUCAAUAUAAGCAAAGCUAUUUAUAUCAUAAAGCUGAAACUUGAAAUUCCACCCUUGCCUAUUCUUUUUCCUCAGAAAGAUGUCUUUCUUUCUAAGAAUAUAUUGCACUUAAGGAUAGGAGGUGUCUCCUUUGGACGUCUGAAGAUUGCCAUUUGAAAUGCUCUUUGAGGGAUGCGAAGUCAACCCUGGAUCCAAAGUAGCUUUGAUGUUUGUCAGGAAAAUGCUGGAAUUCUAUACACUACAGUUUCUACAGAGCAUGAAGAACUCCAACUUCAGACAACCUGCAAAAAAAGUCAGAGAGCAAUUAAAUAUAAAAAUAAAUUCCUUUGAUAAAACAAAA
Molecule: long non-coding RNA, 1179 nt
Filed under: Homo sapiens (human)
Lineage: Eukaryota; Metazoa; Chordata; Mammalia; Primates; Hominidae
Description: HSALNT0150735
Source: RNAcentral